This 530-nucleotide ribosomal RNA is filed under the name Starmerella bacillaris. RNAcentral's name for it is "eukaryotic LSU rRNA". It matches the Rfam family "Eukaryotic large subunit ribosomal RNA", at positions 37 to 669 of the family's 3401-position model. Lineage: Eukaryota; Fungi; Ascomycota; Dipodascomycetes; Dipodascales; Trichomonascaceae. The record is from RNAcentral.
UGCAUAUCAAAUAAGCGGAGGAAAAGAAACCAACAGGGAUUGCCCUAGUAACGGCGAGUGAACAGGCAAGAGCUCAGAUUUGAAAGGCACUUUUGUGCCGUUGUAUUCUGAAGUUAGGGUCCUGAGAAACGAUGCUUAAGUCUUCUGGAAAGGAGCGCCAUGGAGGGUGAUAGCCCCGUCUAGCAUUGACCUCAUAUAGGAUCUUAACAUGGAGUCGAGUUGUUUGGGAAUGCAGCUCAAAUGGGUGGUAUGCUCCAUCUAAAGCUAAAUAUCUGCGAGAGACCGAUAGUAAACAAGUACUGUGAGGGAAAGAUGAAAAGAACUUUGAAAAGAGAGUGAAAAAGUACGUGAAAUUGUUGAAAUGGAAGGGUAGGCCGCUAACCAUGUAGAGCCGUGUUUGGGGGGAAGAUAAAUGCUGUAGAAUGUAGCUCCUCGGAGUAUUAUAGAUGCAGUUCAUAUUCCCACCCGAGCGCGAGGAUCUCAGGUUCUACUAAAUGGUGGUCUACCACCCGUCUUGACCAACGGAACCA